CUUUCUUAAGUCCCCCCGCCUCGCAAGAUGGCUGCGGUGCCGCCGGGCCCGGAGCCGUGGAACCGUGUGAGAAUCCCUAAGGCGGGGAACCGCAGCGCAGUGACAGUGCAGAACCCCGGCGCGGCCCUUGACCUUUGCAUUGCAGCUGUAAUUAAAGAAUGCCAUCUCGUCAUACUGUCGCUGAAGAGCCAAACCUUAGAUGCAGAAACAGAUGUGUUAUGUGCAGUCCUUUACAGCAAUCACAACAGAAUGGGCCGCCACAAACCCCAUUUGGCCCUCAAACAGGUUGAGCAAUGUUUAAAGCGUUUGAAAAACAUGAAUUUGGAGGGCUCAAUUCAAGACCUGUUUGAGUUGUUUUCUUCCAAUGAAAAUCAGCCCUUAACUACCAAAGUAUGUGUUGUCCCCAGUCAGCCAGUGGUGGAGUUGGUGUUGAUGAAGGUUGAUUUUGUUAUAUGAGUCUUUGUUUGGAUUGCUUCAAGAGGUCGCUAGGAUUCAACCAAUGCCUUACUUCAAAGAUUUUACCUUUCCUUCUGAUAUCACUGAAUUUUUAGGACAG
RNAcentral lists this small RNA (556 nucleotides) under Pan troglodytes (chimpanzee). RNAcentral's name for it is "processed transcript". Lineage: Eukaryota; Metazoa; Chordata; Mammalia; Primates; Hominidae. The record is from RNAcentral.